RNAcentral lists this ribosomal RNA (2904 nucleotides) under Escherichia coli. RNAcentral's name for it is "23S ribosomal RNA". It matches the Rfam family "Bacterial large subunit ribosomal RNA". Lineage: Bacteria; Pseudomonadati; Pseudomonadota; Gammaproteobacteria; Enterobacterales; Enterobacteriaceae. The record is from RNAcentral.
GGUUAAGCGACUAAGCGUACACGGUGGAUGCCCUGGCAGUCAGAGGCGAUGAAGGACGUGCUAAUCUGCGAUAAGCGUCGGUAAGGUGAUAUGAACCGUUAUAACCGGCGAUUUCCGAAUGGGGAAACCCAGUGUGAUUCGUCACACUAUCAUUAACUGAAUCCAUAGGUUAAUGAGGCGAACCGGGGGAACUGAAACAUCUAAGUACCCCGAGGAAAAGAAAUCAACCGAGAUUCCCCCAGUAGCGGCGAGCGAACGGGGAGGAGCCCAGAGCCUGAAUCAGUGUGUGUGUUAGUGGAAGCGUCUGGAAAGGCGCGCGAUACAGGGUGACAGCCCCGUACACAAAAAUGCACAUAUUGUGAGCUCGAUGAGUAGGGCGGGACACGUGGUAUCCUGUCUGAAUAUGGGGGGACCAUCCUCCAAGGCUAAAUACUCCUGACUGACCGAUAGUGAACCAGUACCGUGAGGGAAAGGCGAAAAGAACCCCGGCGAGGGGAGUGAAAAAGAACCUGAAACCGUGUACGUACAAGCAGUGGGAGCACGCUUAGGCGUGUGACUGCGUACCUUUUGUAUAAUGGGUCAGCGACUUAUAUUCUGUAGCAAGGUUAACCGAAUAGGGGAGCCGAAGGGAAACCGAGUCUUAACUGGGCGUUAAGUUGCAGGGUAUAGACCCGAAACCCGGUGAUCUAGCCAUGGGCAGGUUGAAGGUUGGGUAACACUAACUGGAGGACCGAACCGACUAAUGUUGAAAAAUUAGCGGAUGACUUGUGGCUGGGGGUGAAAGGCCAAUCAAACCGGGAGAUAGCUGGUUCUCCCCGAAAGCUAUUUAGGUAGCGCCUCGUGAAUUCAUCUCCGGGGGUAGAGCACUGUUUCGGCAAGGGGGUCAUCCCGACUUACCAACCCGAUGCAAACUGCGAAUACCGGAGAAUGUUAUCACGGGAGACACACGGCGGGUGCUAACGUCCGUCGUGAAGAGGGAAACAACCCAGACCGCCAGCUAAGGUCCCAAAGUCAUGGUUAAGUGGGAAACGAUGUGGGAAGGCCCAGACAGCCAGGAUGUUGGCUUAGAAGCAGCCAUCAUUUAAAGAAAGCGUAAUAGCUCACUGGUCGAGUCGGCCUGCGCGGAAGAUGUAACGGGGCUAAACCAUGCACCGAAGCUGCGGCAGCGACGCUUAUGCGUUGUUGGGUAGGGGAGCGUUCUGUAAGCCUGUGAAGGUGUGCUGUGAGGCAUGCUGGAGGUAUCAGAAGUGCGAAUGCUGACAUAAGUAACGAUAAAGCGGGUGAAAAGCCCGCUCGCCGGAAGACCAAGGGUUCCUGUCCAACGUUAAUCGGGGCAGGGUGAGUCGACCCCUAAGGCGAGGCCGAAAGGCGUAGUCGAUGGGAAACAGGUUAAUAUUCCUGUACUUGGUGUUACUGCGAAGGGGGGACGGAGAAGGCUAUGUUGGCCGGGCGACGGUUGUCCCGGUUUAAGCGUGUAGGCUGGUUUUCCAGGCAAAUCCGGAAAAUCAAGGCUGAGGCGUGAUGACGAGGCACUACGGUGCUGAAGCAACAAAUGCCCUGCUUCCAGGAAAAGCCUCUAAGCAUCAGGUAACAUCAAAUCGUACCCCAAACCGACACAGGUGGUCAGGUAGAGAAUACCAAGGCGCUUGAGAGAACUCGGGUGAAGGAACUAGGCAAAAUGGUGCCGUAACUUCGGGAGAAGGCACGCUGAUAUGUAGGUGAAGCGACUUGCUCGUGGAGCUGAAAUCAGUCGAAGAUACCAGCUGGCUGCAACUGUUUAUUAAAAACACAGCACUGUGCAAACACGAAAGUGGACGUAUACGGUGUGACGCCUGCCCGGUGCCGGAAGGUUAAUUGAUGGGGUCAGCGCAAGCGAAGCUCUUGAUCGAAGCCCCGGUAAACGGCGGCCGUAACUAUAACGGUCCUAAGGUAGCGAAAUUCCUUGUCGGGUAAGUUCCGACCUGCACGAAUGGCGUAAUGAUGGCCAGGCUGUCUCCACCCGAGACUCAGUGAAAUUGAACUCGCUGUGAAGAUGCAGUGUACCCGCGGCAAGACGGAAAGACCCCGUGAACCUUUACUAUAGCUUGACACUGAACAUUGAGCCUUGAUGUGUAGGAUAGGUGGGAGGCUUUGAAGUGUGGACGCCAGUCUGCAUGGAGCCGACCUUGAAAUACCACCCUUUAAUGUUUGAUGUUCUAACGUUGACCCGUGAUCCGGGUUGCGGACAGUGUCUGGUGGGUAGUUUGACUGGGGCGGUCUCCUCCUAAAGAGUAACGGAGGAGCACGAAGGUUGGCUAAUCCUGGUCGGACAUCAGGAGGUUAGUGCAAUGGCAUAAGCCAGCUUGACUGCGAGCGUGACGGCGCGAGCAGGUGCGAAAGCAGGUCAUAGUGAUCCGGUGGUUCUGAAUGGAAGGGCCAUCGCUCAACGGAUAAAAGGUACUCCGGGGAUAACAGGCUGAUACCGCCCAAGAGUUCAUAUCGACGGCGGUGUUUGGCACCUCGAUGUCGGCUCAUCACAUCCUGGGGCUGAAGUAGGUCCCAAGGGUAUGGCUGUUCGCCAUUUAAAGUGGUACGCGAGCUGGGUUUAGAACGUCGUGAGACAGUUCGGUCCCUAUCUGCCGUGGGCGCUGGAGAACUGAGGGGGGCUGCUCCUAGUACGAGAGGACCGGAGUGGACGCAUCACUGGUGUUCGGGUUGUCAUGCCAAUGGCACUGCCCGGUAGCUAAAUGCGGAAGAGAUAAGUGCUGAAAGCAUCUAAGCACGAAACUUGCCCCGAGAUGAGUUCUCCCUGACUCCUUGAGAGUCCUGAAGGAACGUUGAAGACGACGACGUUGAUAGGCCGGGUGUGUAAGCGCAGCGAUGCGUUGAGCUAACCGGUACUAAUGAACCGUGAGGCUUAACCUU